UUAAACACUCCCAUGGUCAUUCCU
RNAcentral lists this non-coding RNA (24 nucleotides) under Arabidopsis thaliana (thale cress). The record is from RNAcentral. Lineage: Eukaryota; Viridiplantae; Streptophyta; Magnoliopsida; Brassicales; Brassicaceae.